CCCUUAGAUGUUCUGGGCCGCACGCGCGCUACACUGACGAUGGCAACGAGUUUUUCCUUCGCCGAAAGGUGUGGGUAAUCUUUUGAAACAUCGUCGUGCCGGGGAUAGAUCAUUGCAAUUUUUGAUCUUGAACGAGGAAUUCCUAGUAAGCGCGAGUCAUCAGCUCGCGUUGAUUACGUCCCUGCCCUUUGUACACACCGCCCGUCGCUACUACCGAUUGAAUGGUUUAGUGAGGACUCCUGAUUGGCGCCGCCGCCCCGGCAACGGAGCAGCGGACUGCCGAAAAGUUGUUCAAACUUGAUCAUUUAGAGGAAGUAAAAGUCGUAACA
RNAcentral lists this ribosomal RNA (329 nucleotides) under uncultured eukaryote. RNAcentral's name for it is "partial 18S ribosomal RNA". It matches the Rfam family "Eukaryotic small subunit ribosomal RNA", at positions 1470 to 1796 of the family's 1831-position model. The record is from RNAcentral.